CUACGAGGGUUGCAAGCGUUAAUCGGAAUUACUGGGCGUAAAGCGUUCGUAGGCGGUUUGUUAGGCAAGAUGUGAAAGCCCUGGGCUCAACCUGGGAACUGCAUUUUGAACUGGCAAACUAGAAUACUGUAGAGGGUGGUGGAAUUUCCAGUGUAGCGGUGAAAUGCGUAGAGAUUGGAAGGAACAUCAGUGGCGAAGGCGGCCACCUGGACAGAUAUUGACGCUGAGGAACGAAAGCGUGGGGAGCGAACAGGAUUAGAAACCCUAGUAGUCC
Molecule: ribosomal RNA, 274 nt
Filed under: uncultured bacterium
Lineage: Bacteria
Description: partial 16S ribosomal RNA
Rfam family: Bacterial small subunit ribosomal RNA
Source: RNAcentral